This 1372-nucleotide ribosomal RNA is filed under the name uncultured bacterium. RNAcentral's name for it is "bacterial SSU rRNA". It matches the Rfam family "Bacterial small subunit ribosomal RNA", at positions 28 to 1381 of the family's 1533-position model. The record is from RNAcentral.
GAUGAACGCUGGCGGCGUGCCUAAUACAUGCAAGUCGAGCGAACGGACGAGAAGCUUGCUUCUCUGAUGUUAGCGGCGGACGGGUGAGUAACACGUGGAUAACCUACCUAUAAGACUGGGAUAACUUCGGGAAACCGGAGCUAAUACCGGAUAAUAUUUUGAACCGCAUGGUUCAAAAGUGAAAGACGGUCUUGCUGUCACUUAUAGAUGGAUCCGCGCUGCAUUAGCUAGUUGGUAAGGUAACGGCUUACCAAGGCAACGAUGCAUAGCCGACCUGAGAGGGUGAUCGGCCACACUGGAACUGAGACACGGUCCAGACUCCUACGGGAGGCAGCAGUAGGGAAUCUUCCGCAAUGGGCGAAAGCCUGACGGAGCAACGCCGCGUGAGUGAUGAAGGUCUUCGGAUCGUAAAACUCUGUUAUUAGGGAAGAACAUAUGUGUAAGUAACUGUGCACAUCUUGACGGUACCUAAUCAGAAAGCCACGGCUAACUACGUGCCAGCAGCCGCGGUAAUACGUAGGUGGCAAGCGUUAUCCGGAAUUAUUGGGCGUAAAGCGCGCGUAGGCGGUUUUUUAAGUCUGAUGUGAAAGCCCACGGCUCAACCGUGGAGGGUCAUUGGAAACUGGAAAACUUGAGUGCAGAAGAGGAAAGUGGAAUUCCAUGUGUAGCGGUGAAAUGCGCAGAGAUAUGGAGGAACACCAGUGGCGAAGGCGACUUUCUGGUCUGUAACUGACGCUGAUGUGCGAAAGCGUGGGGAUCAAACAGGAUUAGAUACCCUGGUAGUCCACGCCGUAAUCGAUGAGUGCUAAGUGUUAGGGGGUUUCCGCCCCUUAGUGCUGCAGCUAACGCAUUAAGCACUCCGCCUGGGGAGUACGACCGCAAGGUUGAAACUCAAAGGAAUUGACGGGGACCCGCACAAGCGGUGGAGCAUGUGGUUUAAUUCGAAGCAACGCGAAGAACCUUACCAAAUCUUGACAUCCUUUGACAACUCUAGAGAUAGAGCCUUCCCCUUCGGGGGACAAAGUGACAGGUGGUGCAUGGUUGUCGUCAGCUCGUGUCGUGAGAUGUUGGGUUAAGUCCCGCAACGAGCGCAACCCUUAAGCUUAGUUGCCAUCAUUAAGUUGGGCACUCUAAGUUGACUGCCGGUGACAAACCGGAGGAAGGUGGGGAUGACGUCAAAUCAUCAUGCCCCUUAUGAUUUGGGCUACACACGUGCUACAAUGGACAAUACAAAGGGCAGCGAAACCGCGAGGUCAAGCAAAUCCCAUAAAGUUGUUCUCAGUUCGGAUUGUAGUCUGCAACUCGACUACAUGAAGCUGGAAUCGCUAGUAAUCGUAGAUCAGCAUGCUACGGUGAAUACGUUCCCGGGUCU